AUUGAACGCUGGCGGAAUGCUUUACACAUGCAAGUCGAACGGUAACAGGCCGCAAGGUGCUGACGAGUGGCGAACGGGUGAGUAAUGCAUCGGAACGUGCCCAGUCGUGGGGGAUAACGCAGCGAAAGCUGCGCUAAUACCGCAUACGAUCUCUGGAUGAAAGCGGGGGACCGAAAGGCCUCGCGCGAUUGGAGCGGCCGAUGUCAGAUUAGGUAGUUGGUGGGGUAAAGGCCCACCAAGCCAACGAUCUGUAGCUGGUCUGAGAGGACGACCAGCCACACUGGGACUGAGACACGGCCCAGACUCCUACGGGAGGCAGCAGUGGGGAAUUUUGGACAAUGGGCGCAAGCCUGAUCCAGCAAUGCCGCGUGCAGGAAGAAGGCCUUCGGGUUGUAAACUGCUUUUGUACGGAACGAAACGGUCCGGGUUAAUACCCUGGGCUAAUGACGGUACCGUAAGAAUAAGCACCGGCUAACUACGUGCCAGCCGCCGCCGUAA
Molecule: ribosomal RNA, 498 nt
Filed under: uncultured bacterium
Lineage: Bacteria
Description: partial 16S ribosomal RNA
Rfam family: Bacterial small subunit ribosomal RNA
Source: RNAcentral